GCACUUAUGCCAGCAGCACAUAUACUAAAAUUGGAACGAUACAGAGAUUACCAUGGUCCCUGCACAAAGAUGACAUGCAAAUGCAUGAAGCAUUCUAUAUAUAU
Molecule: small nuclear RNA, 104 nt
Organism: Perognathus longimembris pacificus (Pacific pocket mouse)
Lineage: Eukaryota; Metazoa; Chordata; Mammalia; Rodentia; Heteromyidae
Source: RefSeq, a predicted model, not a curated record